GAAAUAGUAAAGAAGGAUUCUUGUCUGCUGAUGGGCUCUGAGAAGUGCUUAGUCAUGUUUUCUCAACUCAACACAGAAAUGCCCAGCACAUUCCUUGGUGUCCAGCUUUCUUUAUCACAGACCAGUGCCCCGGGGAAAAAGAGCAAUGCUGAUGAAUUACAAACAGGCUCUGCUUGUCUAAAAACAGAUUCUUCAGGCAGAGCUCCAUUCAGCACUUCCACUCAGCACUCUGUGAUGGACGGGGUACGUGGGUAGUUCUUUUUUUGGAUGAAUGUUGGCAACAUGACUCUGGCAUAAUUACUACCCAUACUUUCCUCAAGUCAAGGUCUUGCUCUUAUACAUGCAGACACAGGAGCUGGUCAAGAAAAGCUGCACUGGGUUUUCUGGUUUUGGGCAGAAUCUCCAGAUAGAGAGGAAAUAUUCUUAAAUGGUGUGACCCCACCCAGAAAGCCUGCCCUUUUCCUCCAUGUGAAUUUGCCUCCAGCCUGUCUUCCUCAGGGGUCGCCCUUGGACACCAAGCCUGAAGCUGGCAUCCGAAAAGGGAAAUUCCCAGCCAUGGGCCCUGGGGCCAGAUACCCAAGACUCAGAACUGCUCAGUUCCUGUUUUGUUGGAUGCAGAUGAGGUUGCCCAGCUGAGGAGAGACAAGUCCUCAGUUUUUCUGGUGGCAGCGGCUCUCAUCUUGGACUAAAUCCAGUUUUCUGCAUGGGGUGCUGAAGGAAGAGGCCUCUAUUUGAUAUCUGAAGCAAAAAGCUGGAUUCAUCGUUUGCAAGGCAGUAAACACGGCAGACUGCGGAUCUCCUGUAGAGUAUUUGGGAAGUGUGGGGCUGGGGAUUAGUAGACUCUUAACAGUGGGAGUAUUCAGGCAUUAAGUGACCUUUAGCAGAGGCAGCUUGGUCACUGGAGCAAGGCUGUUGCUGAUUGGCUGGCCCUCAGAAGCACGUGUACUGACCAGAGGAAGCUGUCCUUGAUGAAUUGGGACAGACUGAAAACCUGUUCUCCUGGUUACUUGUUCCAGUGGCCAAAGAACAGUGAGUCUUUUCUUGAUCGGGAGGAUAGGAACGAUUCUCGGUAGGAUCCCUUUUUUAUUUAAAUGUCAAAUAAUCCAGCUCAGAGAUUUUCAAACUUUAACAUGAAUCACAUCAGAUCACCCGGAAGGCUUGUUAGAGCAGACUAUUGGGCCCCUCUCCUGCAGAGUUUCUGGUUAGGUAGGUCUGGGAAGGGAGCCAAGAAUCUGCACUUCUAAUGAGUUCCCAGGUGAUGCAGAUGCUCCUGGUCCAGGGACCACUCUUUGAGAACUACUGGUCCAGCAUCCUAGGACUUGUAGUUAAUUAUUUGCUGUUCAGAAAAUAUUUAGGGGGCUUCCCUGGUGGCACAGUGGUUGAGAAUCUGCCUGCCAAUGCAGGGGACACGGGUUCGAGCCCUGGUCUGGGAAGAUCCCACAUGCCGUGGAGCGACUGGGCCCGUGAGCCACAACUACUGAGCCUGCGCGUCUGGAGCCUGUGCUCCGCAACAAGAGAGGCCACGAUAGUGAGAAGCCCGCGCACCGCGAUGAAGAGUGGCCCCCGCUUGCCACAACUAGAGAAAGCCCUCGCACAGAAAUGAAGACCCAACACAGCCAUAAAUAAAUGAAUAAAUAUUAAAAAAAAAAAGAAUGUUUAAAAAAAAAAAGAAGAAGAUAUUUAGGGAAUUCCCUGAUGA
This is a long non-coding RNA of Balaenoptera acutorostrata (minke whale), 1699 nucleotides long. RefSeq lists it as uncharacterized. NCBI's taxonomy places the organism in Eukaryota, Metazoa, Chordata, Mammalia, Artiodactyla, Balaenopteridae. The transcript is spliced from 3 exons. The record is from RefSeq and is a predicted model, not a curated record.